This 403-nucleotide unclassified non-coding RNA is filed under the name soil metagenome. Its description in RNAcentral is "partial contains 5.8S ribosomal RNA, internal transcribed spacer 2, and large subunit ribosomal RNA". The stretch from base 1 to 122 matches the Rfam family "5.8S ribosomal RNA", at positions 35 to 154 of the family's 154-position model. The record is from RNAcentral.
GAUGAAGAACGCAGCAAAAUGCGAUACUUGGUGUGAAUUGCAGAAUCCCGUGAACCAUCGAGUUUUUGAACGCAAGUUGCGCCCGAAGCCUUUUGGCCGAGGGCACGUCUGCCUGGGCGUCACGCAUCGCGUCGCCCCCCACAAUUCUCCGUAAAGGGAACAUGUGUUUUGGGGGCGGAUAUUGGUCUCCCGUGCUCAUGGCGUGGUUGGCCGAAAUAGGAGUCCUUUCGAUGGACGCACGAACUAGUGGUGGUCGUAAAAACCCUCGUCUUUUGUUUCGUGCUGUUGCUCGCAAGGUAAACUCUUUAAAAACCCCAAUGUGUCGUCUCUUGACGACGCUUCGACCGCGACCCCAGGUCAGGCGGGACUACCCGCUGAGUUUAAGCAUAUCAAUAAGGGAGGA